This 521-nucleotide long non-coding RNA is filed under the name Elaeis guineensis (African oil palm). RNAcentral's name for it is "long non-coding RNA (EGUI_LNC037486)". The record is from RNAcentral. Lineage: Eukaryota; Viridiplantae; Streptophyta; Magnoliopsida; Arecales; Arecaceae.
CAUUAUAUUAUUAGCUGAACCUUUUCUUUCUAUAUUUUCAACUGUUGAUUGAAAUUUUUACAUAUUGAUGUAAAAUAAUAAAAAAAAUUAUUUAAAAAUAGAUAAAAAUUAUUUCAUUCUAUUUUCAAAUAAAGAUCAAACAUUUAUGGUAGUCUUCAUGAUGAUGAAGAUUAGACUCCCAGGCUUUUGGAGAGCUGAGGCGCAUUAAGAUUGACCAUAAGAUGGUUCAAUCUUUGAUGCACCUAGGUUAGACCCAUAGAUCAUCCUGUGGUUCAGAUAAUUUUUUCAAAAGUUCAUAACUAUUUAUCUUCCUCUAUAUGCUCUUACUUGCAGGUAGUUAGGAAUUAAAAUUUAUAUAGCAUAUGAUGCAUGUAUAUGUUUAGGAUGUGCUUGAGAUCUAAAUCUCUCAUUCAAAUUAUAUUAAGUCAUAAGGAUGAAGUGUUAAGAAUACCACCCAUGCUUUCCUUCAUGCUUAGCCUGUAUUAUGUCAAGAACCAUGGUAGGCUUGUUGUGCUAUCCAC